RNAcentral lists this ribosomal RNA (427 nucleotides) under uncultured bacterium. RNAcentral's name for it is "partial 16S ribosomal RNA". It matches the Rfam family "Bacterial small subunit ribosomal RNA", at positions 355 to 774 of the family's 1533-position model. The record is from RNAcentral.
UGGGGAAUAUUGGACAAUGGGCGAAAGCCUGAUCCAGCCAUGCCGCGUGUGUGAAGAAGGUCUUCGGAUUGUAAAGCACUUUAAGUUGGGAGGAAGGGCAUUAACCUAAUACGUUAGUGUUUUGACGUUACCGACAGAAUAAGCACCGGCUAACUCUGUGCCAGCAGCCGCGGUAAUACAGAGGGUGCAAGCGUUAAUCGGAAUUACUGGGCGUAAAGCGCGCGUAGGUGGUUUGUUAAGUUGCAUGUGAAAUCCCCGGGCUCAACCUGGGAACUGCAUUCAAAACUGACUGACUAGAGUAUGGUAGAGGGUGGUGGAAUUUCCUGUGUAGCGGUGAAAUGCGUAGAUAUAGGAAGGAACACCAGUGGCGAAGGCGACCACCUGGACUAAUACUGACACUGAGGUGCGAAAGCGUGGGGAGCAAACA